RNAcentral lists this ribosomal RNA (128 nucleotides) under Jaculus jaculus (lesser Egyptian jerboa). The record is from RNAcentral. Lineage: Eukaryota; Metazoa; Chordata; Mammalia; Rodentia; Dipodidae.
AUAUCUGCAUCUACCCUGAAUGUGCCCAAUCUUGUCUGGUCUAGGAAGCUAAGCAGGGCCGGGCCUGGUUAGGACUUGGAUGGGAGAAAGAAUAUUUGAGAUCUGUGGAAUACCUUGAGAAUGAUAUU